Molecule: ribosomal RNA, 372 nt
Filed under: uncultured organism
Description: partial 16S ribosomal RNA
Rfam family: Bacterial small subunit ribosomal RNA
Source: RNAcentral
GUAGGUGGCAAGCGUUGUCCGGAAUUAUUGGGCGUAAAGCGCGCGCAGGCGGUCCUUUAAGUCUGAUGUGAAAGCCCACGGCUCAACCGUGGAGGGUCAUUGGAAACUGGGGGACUUGAGUACAGAAGAGGAAAGCGGAAUUCCAAGUGUAGCGGUGAAAUGCGUAGAGAUUUGGAGGAGCACCAGUGGCGAAGGCGGCUUUCUGGUCUGUAGCUGACGCUGAGGCGCGAAAGCGUGGGGAGCAAACAGGGAUUAGAUACCCUGGUAGUCCACGCCGUAAACGAUGAGUGCUAAGUGUUAGGGGGUUUCCGCCCCCUUAGUGCUGCAGCUAACGCAUUAAGCACUCCGCCUGGGGAUACGGCCGCAAGGCUG